This 1282-nucleotide ribosomal RNA is filed under the name metagenome. RNAcentral describes it as "bacterial SSU rRNA". It matches the Rfam family "Bacterial small subunit ribosomal RNA", at positions 233 to 1498 of the family's 1533-position model. The record is from RNAcentral.
GCGUACCAUUAGCUUGUUGGUGGGGUAACGGCUCACCAAGGCUACGAUGGUUAGCUGGUCUGAGAGGAUGAUCAGCCACACUGGAACUGAAACACGGUCCAGACUCCUACGGGAGGCAGCAGUGAGGAAUUUUGCGCAAUGGGGGAAACCCUGACGCAGCAACGCCGCGUGAGUGAAGAAGGCUUUCGGGUCGUAAAGCUCUGUCAAGUGGGAAAAAAGUCUGAUGAUUAAUAGUUGUCAGAUUUGAUGGUACCACUGGAGGAAGCACCGGCUAACUCCGUGCCAGCAGCCGCGGUAAUACGGAGGGUGCAAGCGUUGUUCGGAAUUACUGGGCGUAAAGGGCGUGCAGGCGGGUUGGUAAGUCAGAUGUGAAAGCCCUGGGCUUAACCCAGGAAGUGCAUUUGAAACUGCCAUCCUAGAGUAUGGGAGAGGAGAGUGGAAUUCCCAAUGUAGAGGUGAAAUUCGUAGAUAUUGGGAGGAACACCCGUGGCGAAGGCGACUCUCUGGACCAAUACUGACGCUGAGACGCGAAAGCGUGGGAGCAAACAGGAUUAGAUACCCUGGUAGUCCACGCUGUAAACGAUGAGAACUAGGUGUAGCGGGUAUUGACCCCUGCUGUGCCGAAGUUAACGCAUUAAGUUCUCCGCCUGGGGAGUACGGCCGCAAGGCUAAAACUCAAAGGAAUUGACGGGGGCCCGCACAAGCGGUGGAGCAUGUGGUUUAAUUCGACGCAACGCGAAGAACCUUACCUGGGUUUGACAUCCUUUGACAGUCCCGGAAACGGGAUCUUUCCGACUUUGUCGGAACAGAGUGACAGGUGCUGCAUGGCUGUCGUCAGCUCGUGUCGUGAGAUGUUGGGUUAAGUCCCGCAACGAGCGUAACCCUUGUCUUUAGUUGCCAGUAUUUAGUUAGGCACUCUAAAGAGACUGCCUCGGUUAACGGGGAGGAAGGUGGGGAUGACGUCAAGUCCUCAUGGCCUUUAUACCCAGGGCUACACACGUGCUACAAUGGGCUGUACAAAGGGUAGCUAAUUCGCGAGGAAGCGCUAAUCCCAAAAAGCAGCUCUCAGUUCGGAUUGGAGUCUGCAACUCGACUCCAUGAAGGUGGAAUCGCUAGUAAUCGUGGAUCAGCACGCCACGGUGAAUACGUUCCCGGGCCUUGUACACACCGCCCGUCACACCACGAAAGUCGACUGUACCAGAAGUUGCUGGGCUAACUCCGUUUACGGGGAGGCAGGUACCUAAGGUACGGCCGGUAAUUGGGGUGAAGUCGUAACAAGGUA